GACGAACGCUGGCGGCGUGCUUAACACAUGCAAGUCGAACGGAAAGGCCCUGCUUUGGUGGGGUGCUCGAGGGGCGAACGGGUGAGUAACACGUGAGUAACCUGCCCUUGACUUUGGGAUAACUUCAGGAAACUGGGGCUAAUACCGGAUAGGAGCUCCUGCUGCAUGGUGGGGGUUGGAAAGUUUCGGCGGUUGGGGAUGGACUCGCGCCUUAUCAGCUUGUUGGUGGGGUAGUGGCUUACCAAGGCUUUGACGGGUAGCCGGCCUGAGAGGGUGACCGGCCACAUUGGGACUGAGAUGCGGCCCAGCCUCCUACGGGAGGCAGCAGUGGGGAAUAGUGCACAAUGGGCGGAAGCCUGAUGCAGCACAGCCGCGUGCGGGAUGACGGCCUUCGGGUUGUAAACCGCUUUCGCCUGUGACGAAGCGUGAGUGACGGUAAUGGGUAAAGAAGCACCGGCUAACUACGUG
Molecule: ribosomal RNA, 468 nt
Filed under: uncultured bacterium
Lineage: Bacteria
Description: partial 16S ribosomal RNA
Rfam family: Bacterial small subunit ribosomal RNA
Source: RNAcentral